UGGGGGAUAUUGCACAAUGGGCGCAAGCCUGAUGCAGCGACGCCGCGUGAGGGAUGACGGCUUUCGGGUUGUAAACCUCUUUCGCUACCGAACAAGGCUCCAUAUUGGUGGGGUUGAGGGUAGGUGGAUAAGAAGCGCCGGCUAACUACGUGCCAGCAGCCGCGGUAAUACGUAGGGCGCGAGCGUUGUCCGGAAUUAUUGGGCGUAAAGAGCUCGUAGGCGGCUUGUCGCGUCUGCUGUGAAAACGCGGGGCUUAACUCCGCGCGUGCAGUGGGUACGGGCAGGCUAGAGUGUGGUAGGGGUGACUGGAAUUCCUGGUGUAGCGGUGGAAUGCGCAGAUAUCAGGAGGAACACCGAUGGCGAAGGCAGGUCACUGGGCCAUUACUGACGCUGAGGAGCGAAAGCAUGGGGAGCGAACAGG
Molecule: ribosomal RNA, 421 nt
Filed under: uncultured bacterium
Lineage: Bacteria
Description: bacterial SSU rRNA
Rfam family: Bacterial small subunit ribosomal RNA
Source: RNAcentral